Molecule: small nuclear RNA, 117 nt
Filed under: Castor canadensis (American beaver)
Lineage: Eukaryota; Metazoa; Chordata; Mammalia; Rodentia; Castoridae
Description: U5 spliceosomal RNA (ENSCCNG00000027206.1)
Rfam family: U5 spliceosomal RNA
About the family: U5 RNA is a component of both types of known spliceosome. The precise function of this molecule is unknown, though it is known that the 5' loop is required for splice site selection and p220 binding, and that both the 3' stem-loop and the Sm site are important for Sm protein binding and cap methylation.
Source: Rfam by way of RNAcentral
AUACUCUGGUUUCUCUUCAUACCACAUAAAUCUUUCACCUUUUACUAAACAUUUCUAUGCAGAGAAACAGAUAUGAGUCAUUAACCAAGUGUUUGAGACCUUCUGUCCUGGGAGGCU